CCGAGUUUACAACUCCCAAACCCCUGUGAACAUACCUAUACGUUGCCUCGGCGCAGCUACCCGGCCUCGCGCCCCGUAAAGGACGGCCCGCCCGGCGGACACCAAAACUCUGUUAUCUUAGUGGAUUAAUCUGAGUGUAACUAAUUAAUAAAGUCA
RNAcentral lists this unclassified non-coding RNA (156 nucleotides) under soil metagenome. RNAcentral describes it as "partial internal transcribed spacer 1". The record is from RNAcentral.